UUAUCAGUGAGGUACAUCCUUACCUGUUACUCCAAACAGGAGUAUCAGAAAAUGAUGAAUGGAGAAUGAUGAGCCAUGAUUAAUGUCUCUCUCCUGUUUGGUCGCACAUCCAAACAGGAGCCAUUCUGAU
Molecule: small nucleolar RNA, 130 nt
Filed under: Hippocampus comes (tiger tail seahorse)
Lineage: Eukaryota; Metazoa; Chordata; Actinopteri; Syngnathiformes; Syngnathidae
Description: U8 small nucleolar RNA (ENSHCOG00000019269.1)
Rfam family: U8 small nucleolar RNA
About the family: U8 is a member of the C/D class of snoRNA which contain the C (UGAUGA) and D (CUGA) box motifs. U8 is the RNA component of a small complex (the U8 snoRNP) which is required for accumulation of mature large subunit ribosomal RNAs, 5.8S and 28S rRNAs.
Source: RNAcentral